RNAcentral lists this ribosomal RNA (468 nucleotides) under uncultured bacterium. RNAcentral describes it as "partial 16S ribosomal RNA". It matches the Rfam family "Bacterial small subunit ribosomal RNA", at positions 28 to 507 of the family's 1533-position model. The record is from RNAcentral.
GACGAACGCUGGCGGCGUGCUUAACACAUGCAAGUCGAACGGAAAGGCCCUGCUUUUGUGGGGUGCUCGAGUGGCGAACGGGUGAGUAACACGUGAGUAACCUGCCCUUGACUUUGGGAUAACUUCAGGAAACUGGGGCUAAUACCGGCUAGGAGCUCCUGCUGCAUGGUGGGGGUUGGAAAGUUUCUGCGGCUGGGGAUGGACUCGCGGCUUAUCAGCUUGUUGGUGGGGUAGUGGCUUACCAAGGCUUUGACGGGUAGCCGGCCUGAGGGGGUGACCGGCAACAUUGGGGGUGGGAUACGGCGCAGACUACGACGGGAGGCAGAAGUGGGGAAUAUUGCAAGAUGGGCGGAAGCCUGAUGCAGUAGCGCCGGGUGCGGGAUGACGGCCUUCGGGUGGUAAACCGCUGGCGCCUGUGACGAAGGGUGAGUGACGGUAAUGGGUAAAGAAGCAGCGGGUAACUACGUG